GAUGAACGCUGGCGGCGUGCCUAAUACAUGCAAGUCGAGCGAACAGACGAGGAGCUUGCUCCUCUGACGUUAGCGGCGGACGGGUGAGUAACACGUGGAUAACCUACCUAUAAGACGGGGAUAACUUCGGGAAACCGGAGCUAAUACCGGAUAAUAUAUUGAACCGCAUGGUUCAAUAGUGAAAGACGGUUUUGCUGUCACUUAUCGAUGGAUCCGCGCCGCAUUAGCUAGUUGGUAAGGUAACGGCUUACCAAGGCGACGAUGCGUAGCCGCCCGGAGAGGGUGAUCGGCCACACUGGAACUGAGACACGCUCCAGACUCCUACGGGAGGCAGCAGUACGGAAUCUUCCGCAAUGGGCGGAAGCCUGACGGAGCAACGCCGCGUGAGUGAUGAAGGUCUUCGGAUCGUAAAACUCUGUUAUUAGGGAAGAACAAAUGUGUAAGUAACUAUGCACGUCUUGACGGUACCUAAUCAGAAAGCCACGGCUAACUACGUG
Molecule: ribosomal RNA, 497 nt
Filed under: uncultured bacterium
Lineage: Bacteria
Description: partial 16S ribosomal RNA
Rfam family: Bacterial small subunit ribosomal RNA
Source: RNAcentral